Sus scrofa (pig) is the source of this 3300-nucleotide non-coding RNA. NCBI's taxonomy places the organism in Eukaryota, Metazoa, Chordata, Mammalia, Artiodactyla, Suidae. The record is from RefSeq and is a predicted model, not a curated record.
GCCGCGCCUGCGGAGCCGCCGGGCGCUCGACGCCGCGGUCGCGGGCCCCCGAGGGCCGCGCUGUUUGUUUCAGCCUCGCGUCGUGCAGAAGUGAAGGGAAGUAAAAUGUCCACUAGGACCCCGUUGCCAACGGUGAAUGAACGAGACACUGAGAACCACACGUCGCAUGGAGAUGGGCGGCAAGAAGUUACCUCUCGCACUGGGCGCUCUGGAGCUCGGUGUAGAAACUCUAUCGCUUCCUGUGCAGAUGAACAACCUCACAUCGGAAACUACAGGCUGUUGAAAACAAUCGGCAAGGGGAAUUUUGCAAAAGUGAAAUUGGCAAGACAUAUCCUUACAGGCAGAGAGGUUGCAAUAAAAAUAAUUGACAAAACUCAGUUGAAUCCAACAAGUCUACAAAAGCUCUUCAGAGAAGUAAGAAUAAUGAAGAUUUUAAAUCAUCCAAACAUAGUGAAGUUAUUCGAAGUCAUUGAAACUGACAAAACGCUCUACCUAAUCAUGGAGUAUGCAAGCGGAGGUGAAGUAUUUGACUAUUUGGUUGCACAUGGAAGAAUGAAGGAAAAGGAAGCAAGAGCUAAAUUUAGACAGAUAGUGUCUGCAGUCCAGUACUGCCACCAAAAGAGGAUCGUUCACAGAGACCUCAAGGCUGAAAAUCUAUUGUUAGAUGCGGACAUGAACAUUAAAAUAGCCGACUUUGGUUUCAGCAAUGAGUUUGCUCUUGGCGGUAAGCUGGAUACGUUCUGCGGCAGUCCUCCGUACGCCGCCCCAGAACUCUUCCAGGGCAAGAAAUACGACGGGCCGGAGGUGGACGUGUGGAGCCUCGGCGUCAUUCUGUACACGCUCGUCAGCGGCUCCCUCCCCUUCGAUGGACAGAACCUGAAGGAACUGAGAGAGAGAGUAUUGAGAGGCAAAUACAGAAUCCCUUUCUACAUGUCCACAGACUGUGAAAACCUUCUCAAACGCUUCCUGGUGCUAAAUCCAAUAAAACGGGGCACGCUAGAGCAAAUCAUGAAGGACAGGUGGAUCAACGCAGGGCAUGAGGAGGACGAACUUAAGCCAUUUGUUGAACCCGAACUGGACAUUGCAGACCAGAAAAGAAUAGAUAUUAUGGUGGGAAUGGGAUAUUCACAAGAAGAAAUUCAAGAAUCUCUUAGUAAGAUGAAAUAUGAUGAAAUCACAGCUACAUAUUUGUUGUUGGGGAGAAAAUCUUCAGAGCUGGAUGCUAGUGAUUCCAGUUCUAGCAGCAAUCUUUCACUUGCUAAGGUUAGGCCAAGCAGUGACCUCAACAACAGCACUGGCCAGUCUCCUCACCACAAAGUGCAAAGAAGUGUCUCUUCAAGCCAGAAGCAGCGGCGGUACAGUGACCAUGCUGGACCAGCCGUUCCUUCAGUUGUGGCGUAUCCAAAAAGGAGCCAGACGAGCACUGCAGAUAGCGACCUCAAAGAAGAUGGAAUUCCCUCCCGGAAACCAAGUGGCAGUGCUGUUGGAGGAAAGGGAAUCGCUCCUGCCAGUCCCAUGCUUGGGAAUGCAAGUAAUCCCAAUAAGGCGGAUAUUCCUGAACGUAAGAAAAGCUCCACUGUCCCAAGUAGUAAUACAGCAUCCGGUGGAAUGACACGGCGGAAUACUUAUGUUUGCAGUGAAAGAACUACAGCUGAUAGACAUUCAGUAAUUCAGAAUGGCAAAGAAAACAGCGCUGUUCCUGACCAGAGAGCGCCAGUUGCUUCAACACACAGUAUUAGCAGUGCCACCACCCCAGACCGAACACGCUUCCCAAGAGGCACUGCCAGUCGAAGUACUUUCCACGGCCAGCCCCGGGAGCGGCGCACUGCCACAUACAAUGGCCCGCCAGCCUCGCCCAGCCUGUCCCAUGAAGCCACACCAUUGUCGCAGAAUCGAAGCCGAGGCUCCACUAAUCUUUUUAGUAAAUUAACUUCCAAACUCACAAGGAGAAACAUGUCAUUCAGGUUUAUCAAAAGGAUCGUGGGAACAAGCAUAAAAUUCAAACCUACAGCCUCAUUUGUUGGGAGUUUUUCAGAACCUAAGAUACGGGUAACUGCACAGCAGAAGUGUUUCCGUGGUUUUUGAGAGUCGGAGAGUAAUAGUGUCGUAUCAAAAGGCCUGUUUUUCCAGCCGCUGAAGAAAGCGCGUCUCGUUUUCACCUCAAGCACUGUGGUGGACCUUACUCCUGCUGGGAUGUUUUUUGGUGCAACGUCUGCCACUGCGGCCACUUGGUGCCUGCACCUCUCAGCUCACCAGAAGGCCGGGCUCUGAGCUUUUGUGUUGAUGCCACCAGUGGGUCACUGAGAGGCCUUGUUCACACAAGCUCUUUAUCAGAAACUGUGGGAAGAGUGCUUUCUUCCUCUGGGAAACUCCGCUCCAGAUUGUUUAAUUGGAAACCCAUUAUCCUUCACAGCGUGAUUAAAAAGUGAGAGUCGCUGCAGCUGAAGGCCGUGAAUGUACUCGACCCCAGGGCGGGGCGGGCACACCUGCUGUGUACAUGAAGCAGUUGUGCGGCCAGCCUCCCGCAUGGCCUUCUGGACGCGUGGCGAAGCCUCUGGCUGAGAGGAAGCGGCCUAGUCAGCGCCACUGGUGACCACACAGUGCUUUGAAUUUGUUCGUGUUACGAUGUUGCUUUGUGCGCGGUCGUGUACGAGUGUGUAAGACUUCUUUUCUCUUUCCCACUUCUCUGCUUCUCCAUUCUAUUCGUUGAGGCUUCCAACUGAAUAUGAAAGGAACGGGAGAUAUGAGGGCUCAAGUCGCAACGUAUCUGCUGAGCAAAAGGAGGAAAACAAAGAAGCAAAACCUCGUUCCCUUCGCUUUACCUGGAGCAUGAAAACCACUAGUUCCAUGGAUCCCAAUGACAUGAUGCGGGAAAUCCGCAAAGUGCUGGACGCCAAUAACUGCGACUAUGAGCAGAGAGAGCGCUUCCUACUCUUCUGUGUCCACGGCGAUGGGCACGCAGAGAACCUCGUGCAGUGGGAGAUGGAGGUGUGCAAGCUGCCAAGACUGUCUCUGAACGGGGUCCGAUUCAAGCGGAUAUCAGGGACAUCCAUAGCUUUCAAAAAUAUUGCUUCCAAAAUUGCCAAUGAGCUAAAGCUGUAACCCAGUCAUUAUGGUGUAAAUUAAGUAGCAGUUUAAAGUGUUUUCCUGAACACUGAUGGAAAUGUAUAGAAUAAUAUUUAGGCAAUAACGUCUGCAUCUUCUAAAUCAUGAUAUUAAAAUAUAAGGACGCGAGCACGCCUGGGAGCGAAGCUGGCCUUUUUUCUACGAAUGCACUACAUUAAAGACGUGUGACACGUG